RNAcentral lists this ribosomal RNA (760 nucleotides) under Rhizophagus intraradices. RNAcentral describes it as "eukaryotic LSU rRNA". It matches the Rfam family "Eukaryotic large subunit ribosomal RNA", at positions 38 to 648 of the family's 3401-position model. The record is from RNAcentral. Lineage: Eukaryota; Fungi; Glomeromycota; Glomeromycetes; Glomerales; Glomeraceae.
GCAUAUCAAUAAGCGGAGGAAAAGAAAAUAACAAUGAUUCCCCUAGUAAUUGCGAAUGAAGAGGGACAAGCUCAAAUUUUAAAUCUAUCGGGUUUUACCUGAUCGAGUUGUAAUUUGAAGAAGCGUUUUCCGCGUAUUUGGUCAACCCAAGUCCUAUUGAAUGAGGCAUCAUGGAGGGUGAUAAUCCCGUCCGGUUGAUCAUUGCGUUUACGAUACGCUUUCUAAGAGUCAAGUUGUUUGGGAUUGCAGCUUAAAAUGGGAGGUAAAUUUCUCCUAAGGCUAAAUAACGGCGAGAGACCGAUAGCGAACAAGUACCGUGAGGGAAAGAUGAAAAGAACUUUGAAAAGAGAGUUAAACAGUACGUGAAAUUGUUGAAAGGGAAACGAUUGAAGCCAGUCGUACCUUCGGGUAAUCAGCCUUUCGGGUGCGAUUAUGUGGAGUGUGAGGAGCUUAAACACCUUCAUGUUUUGCAUAUUCGUACUCUUGGGUGUACUUGCCCGUGUGGUUGGUUAACAUCAAUUUUGGUGGUCAUAAAAUGACUGGAGGAAUGUAGCUUCGAUCUCGUAUUGAAGUGUUAUAGCCUUCGGUAGAUGUGAUGAUCGAGAUUGAGGAUUGCAACGGAUACCCUUCGGGGCUACCUGUCUGGUCUCUGAUCGUUGCUCUGGUGCCGAAAGCUUGCUUACGGUAAUCAAAGUCGAUGGUCAAUAGGUUAGAACGGGUUAAAUUCGUUAAGGAUGUUGACGUAAUGGCUUUAAACGAC